GUUAGCCAUGCAUGUGUAAGUACAGCCUGAAAAAGCUGAAACCGCGAAUGGCUCAUUAAAUCAGUUACAAUCUAUUAGUUUACCGUCGCGCUAUAUGAAUAACUCUGCUAACCGUAGAGCUAAUGCAUGCAGAUCGCGCUUGCAAAUUCUCCUCCUAAUCGGGGCAAUCUGAACUUUUAUUGGAUCAGCAGACGUCGGCAAGGGGGCAGUAGUUCCACCGCGUACAUGAACUAUGUUCGUAACUGACCGAUCCCAGAAGGCUACUGAGCCGGCGACGAAACUUUCAAGUGUCUGAGCUAUCAACUUACGACGGUAGGGUAACGGCCUACCAUGGUUGUAACGGCUAACGGGGAAUCAGGGUUCGAUUCCGGAGAGGCAGCCUGAGAAACGGCUACCACAUCCAAGGAAGGCAGCAGGCACGCAAAUUACCCACUCUCGGCACGAGGAGGUAGUGACGAGAAAUAACACUAUAAACCUUAAUGGUUUGUAAGUGGAAUGGUAUGGAUCUAUAGAAUCCAUAGAUUAACGAGUAGAGGGCAAGUCUGGUGCCAGCAGCGCGCUAAUACCAGCCUCUACAAGCGUAUGCAACGAUUGCUGCGUUUAAAAAGCUCAUAGUUGGAUCUGUUACGGUGUACGGUCAACUAGUGAACUAUUGUUGUAUCAUACCUGCUACAACAACACUAGCGUAAUGCUCGUACCUUCGCAUCGUCUAGAUUGUUUGCACUUCACCGUGUCGAACUCUCAAACGGUGUUACACUUUGAGAAAAUUAGAGUGUUCAAAGCGUCCUUUGGGAUUGAAUAAUAAAGCAUGGAAUAAAGGAGAAUGACCCGCGUUUCUUGAAGCAGGUUUGCGGAAAUGCGGUAAUGAUUAAAAGGAACAGGCGGGGGCAUUUGUAUUGCUAGGUUAGAGGUGAAAUUCUUGGAUCCUAGCAAGACAAACUACUACUGCGAAAGCAUUUGCCAAGAAUGUUUUCAUUAAUCAAGAACGAAAGUCAGAGUAUUGAAGAGGAUUAGAUACCCUCGUAAUUCUGACCUUAAACUAUACCAACUUACGACUUGCCAAAGUCAUACCAUGACUUGGCAAGAAGUUAACCGGGAAACCAAAGUUUAUUGGUUCCGGGGGAAGUAUGGUUGCAAAAUUGAAACUUAAAGGAAUUGACGGAAGGGCACCACCAGGAGUGGAGCCUGCGCUUAAUUUGACUCAACACGGGAAAACUCACCGGGUCCAGACAUCUUAAGGAUUGACAGAUUGAAUCUCUUUCAUGAUUAUAUGGGCGGUGGUGCAUGGCCGUUCUUAGUUAGUGGAGUGAUCUGUCUGGUUAAUUCCGAUAACGAACGAGAUCUCACUCAUUUUAAUAGUAAAUGUCACUUAAUGUGGCAUAAUACUUCUUAGAGGGACUAAGCAGAAUUAAAUACUGCUAGUGAAGUGAGACUAUAACAGGUCUGUGAUGCCCUUAGAUGUUCUGGACGCACGCGCGCUACAAUGUGUGCUUCAAUAUGAUAAAUCCUUUGACCGAGAAGGUCUGGGAAAUCACAAAAGGACAUUCCUAAAGGGGAUCGACUAUUGUAACUAGUAGUUGUGAACCAGGAAUUCCUAGUACGUAGAAGUCAACAACUUCUACAGAUUACGUCCCUGCCCUUUGUACACACCGCCCGUCGCUACUACUGAUUGGGUAGAAAAGCAACACACUCGGAAACUUUCUUCCCUUGCUCCGGCUUGGGAUUAAAGUGGAA
RNAcentral lists this ribosomal RNA (1734 nucleotides) under Amphiscolops sp. RNAcentral's name for it is "SSU rRNA". It matches the Rfam family "Eukaryotic small subunit ribosomal RNA". The record is from RNAcentral. Lineage: Eukaryota; Metazoa; Xenacoelomorpha; Acoela; Convolutidae.